Molecule: ribosomal RNA, 2601 nt
Filed under: Salmonella enterica
Lineage: Bacteria; Pseudomonadati; Pseudomonadota; Gammaproteobacteria; Enterobacterales; Enterobacteriaceae
Also listed under: 2 other names
Description: partial 23S ribosomal RNA
Rfam family: Bacterial large subunit ribosomal RNA
Source: RNAcentral
AAAGGCGCGCGAUACAGGGUGACAGCCCCGUACACAAAAGCGCAUGUGCUGUGAGCUCGAUGAGUAGGGCGGGACACGUGGUAUCCUGUCUGAAUAUGGGGGGACCAUCCUCCAAGGCUAAAUACUCCUGACUGACCGAUAGUGAACCAGUACCGUGAGGGAAAGGCGAAAAGAACCCCGGCGAGGGGAGUGAAAAAGAACCUGAAACCGUGUACGUACAAGCAGUGGGAGCACCCUUUGGGGUGUGACUGCGUACCUUUUGUAUAAUGGGUCAGCGACUUAUAUUCUGUAGCAAGGUUAACCGAAUAGGGGAGCCGGAGGGAAACCGAGUCUUAAUUGGGCGUUAAGUUGCAGGGUAUAGACCCGAAACCCGGUGAUCUAGCCAUGGGCAGGUUGAAGGUUGGGUAACACUAACUGGAGGACCGAACCGACUAAUGUUGAAAAAUUAGCGGAUGACCUGUGGCUGGGGGUGAAAGGCCAAUCAAACCGGGAGAUAGCUGGUUCUCCCCGAAAGCUAUUUAGGUAGCGCCUCGUGAAUUCAUCUCCGGGGGUAGAGCACUGUUUCGGCUAGGGGGCCAUCCCGGCUUACCAACCCGAUGCAAACUGCGAAUACCGGAGAAUGUUAUCACGGGAGACACACGGCGGGUGCUAACGUCCGUCGUGAAGAGGGAAACAACCCAGACCGCCAGCUAAGGUCCCAAAGUCAUGGUUAAGUGGGAAACGAUGUGGGAAGGCCCAGACAGCCAGGAUGUUGGCUUAGAAGCAGCCAUCAUUUAAAGAAAGCGUAAUAGCUCACUGGUCGAGUCGGCCUGCGCGGAAGAUGUAACGGGGCUAAACCAUGCACCGAAGCUGCGGCAGCGACGCUGAUGCGUUGUUGGGUAGGGGAGCGUUCUGUAAGCCUGCGAAGGUGGCCUGUGAGGGUUGCUGGAGGUAUCAGAAGUGCGAAUGCUGACAUAAGUAACGAUAAAGCGGGUGAAAAGCCCGCUCGCCGGAAGACCAAGGGUUCCUGUCCAACGUUAAUCGGGGCAGGGUGAGUCGACCCCUAAGGCGAGGCCGAAAGGCGUAGUCGAUGGGAAACGGGUUAAUAUUCCCGUACUUGGUGUUACUGCGAAGGGGGGACGGAGAAGGCUAUGUUGGCCGGGCGACGGUUGUCCCGGUUUAAGCGUGUAGGUGUGUGUUCCAGGUAAAUCCGGUUCACUUUAACACUGAGGCGUGAUGACGAGGCACUACGGUGCUGAAGCAACAAAUGCCCUGCUUCCAGGAAAAGCCUCUAAGCAUCAGGUAACAUCAAAUCGUACCCCAAACCGACACAGGUGGUCAGGUAGAGAAUACCAAGGCGCUUGAGAGAACUCGGGUGAAGGAACUAGGCAAAAUGGUGCCGUAACUUCGGGAGAAGGCACGCUGACACGUAGGUGAAGUGAUUUACUCAUGGAGCUGAAGUCAGUCGAAGAUACCAGCUGGCUGCAACUGUUUAUUAAAAACACAGCACUGUGCAAACACGAAAGUGGACGUAUACGGUGUGACGCCUGCCCGGUGCCGGAAGGUUAAUUGAUGGGGUCAGCGCAAGCGAAGCUCCUGAUCGAAGCCCCGGUAAACGGCGGCCGUAACUAUAACGGUCCUAAGGUAGCGAAAUUCCUUGUCGGGUAAGUUCCGACCUGCACGAAUGGCGUAAUGAUGGCCAGGCUGUCUCCACCCGAGACUCAGUGAAAUUGAACUCGCUGUGAAGAUGCAGUGUACCCGCGGCAAGACGGAAAGACCCCGUGAACCUUUACUAUAGCUUGACACUGAACAUUGAGCCUUGAUGUGUAGGAUAGGUGGGAGGCUUUGAAGUGUGGACGCCAGUCUGCAUGGAGCCGGCCUUGAAAUACCACCCUUUAAUGUUUGAUGUUCUAACGUGGACCCGUGAUCCGGGUUGCGGACAGUGUCUGGUGGGUAGUUUGACUGGGGCGGUCUCCUCCUAAAGAGUAACGGAGGAGCACGAAGGUUGGCUAAUCCUGGUCGGACAUCAGGAGGUUAGUGCAAUGGCAUAAGCCAGCUUGACUGCGAGCGUGACGGCGCGAGCAGGUGCGAAAGCAGGUCAUAGUGAUCCGGUGGUUCUGAAUGGAAGGGCCAUCGCUCAACGGAUAAAAGGUACUCCGGGGAUAACAGGCUGAUACCGCCCAAGAGUUCAUAUCGACGGCGGUGUUUGGCACCUCGAUGUCGGCUCAUCACAUCCUGGGGCUGAAGUAGGUCCCAAGGGUAUGGCUGUUCGCCAUUUAAAGUGGUACGCGAGCUGGGUUUAGAACGUCGUGAGACAGUUCGGUCCCUAUCUGCCGUGGGCGCUGGAGAACUGAGGGGGGCUGCUCCUAGUACGAGAGGACCGGAGUGGACGCAUCACUGGUGUUCGGGUUGUCAUGCCAAUGGCACUGCCCGGUAGCUAAAUGCGGAAGAGAUAAGUGCUGAAAGCAUCUAAGCACGAAACUUGCCCCGAGAUGAGUUCUCCCUGAGACUUAGAGUCUCCUGAAGGAACGUUGAAGACGACGACGUUGAUAGGCCGGGUGUGUAAGCGCAGCGAUGCGUUGAGCUAACCGGUACUAAUGAACCGUGAGGCUUAACCUUACA